CCGCAUAAAAUCAAAAUCAGAUAAAAUCCAAUAAAAUCCAUAAAAUCCCAGCCGAAUACAUCCUCUUAGAGCAUCUCUAAUAAGAUUUGAUUAUAAUCGUCGGCUAAAUUGGAUCAUAAGUCAUUGUGUAAAAUUUACUACACUCGUAAGACAUUGUGCUUUUGGCUAUAUUGAUCGGUUAUAAUUUAAAAAUAGUAUAUUACUAAUAUUUUAGAUUGUUAUAAUUAGAAUAUAUUGGUCCAAUAUAAUAAUAAAUGAUGUGUAAUUUUUCUACAAAUUUUCUAGAGACUUGCAGGGCUUCGACAAAUAUAAUCAUACAUACAAGAUUGACUAAAACUAUAGAUAAGAGGUGAGAAUAGUUUGUAUGUGAUACUAUUUUAAAGACAUUAACUAUAUUUUUUAUUGUUAGUAUAACAACUCACUAUUUUAGUUAAAGUUUUAUAAUGAUUGGAGUUGCUAUCAGAUAAGUUUGUUAAUUUUAGACGCGUAAUUUAAAAAGUAUUGACCAUUUUUUUCAUAUUUUAAUUUUCUUAAAAAUAUUCUUUUAUAAACAAAAUUUUCAUAUCUAACUUUUUUUAUAAAUAUAAAAUUUUAAAAAUAAAUCAUAUAUUUACGCGGGUCAAUAAAACUUAAAUCACGUGUUCAAGUGAUCCAUUUUAUCUACUUUGAAAUUAACCAUUUUAUCUUUGAAAUGGAGAGAGCAUUUAUCGUCGCACUGGUUGUGAGCUCUCGUGCUUCUCGCCAAAAGAUUUGGUAGGAAGUUACCCGCUGGUUGACUCAAAGAACAUUAUCCGUAGAAUUUAGAGAGGUUUAUACCCGUAAACUACGAAGCAAAUAUCAUGCGUGCAGAAUUUCCAUAUCGUAGAAUUUUACGAUAUGAAAUUAAUUCUAUUAAAUUGUACAUAACAUUAGGAUAUUAUUUGUGAAAAAUUAUAAGUACAGAAUUAUCAAAAAUAUAAGUCAAAAGUAUAAUGUUAUUGUCGGAAAAAGUUAAAUCAAAAGUGUAUCAUCUGGCGUCCCAGGUCCAGGCCGACUCACCUCGAGAAUUUUGCAGAUACUCAUUUGUAAGAUUAUAAGUCAUAUUUGUCAAAAGAAAGUGUAUCAUAAAAUAUUUUUAAACUAUAAUUAUUAAAUUAUAUUUUAAAAAGUGUUAUAAUAUGCGUAGAUAAUCUUUUUCAGACAUACUUGAACAAUCUCGAAGGAUAUUAAGGCCUUGUUUCCCCAAUUUUGUAGGUAUGUUAUAUGUACAUUCAAAGCAGAUUUAGACGUUGGAGACUCAUUUGCCAUUUUUCCUUUUGACGUUUUUCGCUUUAGUUUACGCGUAGUUGUUUUGUUCCUUACAUAUAGACGUCCAAUUAGUCUUGGAAACGAAGGUCUUAUUGUCGGGUUUUCUUAACAGAAGCGGAAUAUAUUAAAUCGAAACCGAAUCAUACAUCAAUGUCUCUGACAUAACGGAGGACAUCAAAAAACAUUUAAGCAAUCCAUCAUACAAAAUCACCCUAACUAAUAAAUAGGCAAUCUUAUUAAUCUUAUUGGUUUUAUCCAUAUGAAUACAGGAGGAGUUUGUUCCGAUCAAAAUUUAACACAUAUCAAAAAAAAUUAUAUCCAAUUUUGUACACGAGCCGUUUUCCAUUUUUGAGUGAAAGAAACAGAUAUAUCUGGACGAGAACAUAGCAGUAAACGGCAAUCUUGCAACACAACUCCCACCUCCAAGUAGUACUCUAUGCCCUUUGUCAAUGCAUUAGCAGUAAGCAGAGAGUCACUUUGCAGAAGAGUGAAAGAAUAUAUGUAUAAAAGGUUGUAAGUAUCAACAUUUGGCGCUAGAAGGAGGGGGCUCCACUAUUUUCCAACAAAAGAGAUCUUCGAUUCAACCACAGAAUGGCCGGAGGAGAGGAACGAAGGCGGAGCGCACGCUCCACCGUUAAAUCGAAGCUGACCAGAGCAAUCAGCUCUCCAGAAAUAGAUCUACGUAGCAGUCUACCCCCCAAAAAGUUGCUAUUCGGUGACACUUCCCCCGAAGGAUCAGUAGCCGCUCCGGCGCAAUCUGACCCUACGGGAAGGGGGCGGAAACGCGGUCCCAAGCAAACAGUGCUCACCCCACAGGGGAAACACGUCCUGACCAGCGAUGCACGUCUCCAUCUCGAGAGAAUUAAAGCACUAAAGCAACACGAUGAGCGAGUGAAAGCAAACGAGGCUAUAAACCUCGAAGACGAGCUCCAAGCCCUAGAUACUAAGAGGCGUAUGCUCGCUGCCAAGGUGAGACAACAGAGGGAAAUAGCUCGCCUCGAAGCAGAGUUAGGCCACGCUUCACAGGAGUACCAAACCAGAGAUGAUGAGGAGGUUUCCUGGAGGCCCUCGGCCAACAGCGAGUAUUCUACCAGGGCCGACUCGGCGGGCUCAUACAGCUCUCGUCGCCAUAAGAAAAAGUCGACUCGUCACAAUGAAGAAGAGGAGGAGGAAAGUGGAUCUAAGGCUAAAUCUAGUUCAGAAAUCACGGAAAUCAAAAGCGAGCUAGCAAGGCUGAGAAACCAAAUUAAAACAGGCUCUGGAGGCGUGGAGGCCUCAUCUGAAAGCCCCUUAUCCGAAGAAAUUGAGAAUUAUCAGCUCAACAAACACCAGAAGAUUCCAUCGAUUGGCCAGUUUGACGGGUCCACAGCCCCAUCCGACUUCAUCAGCCAAUUUGAUGGCAGAAUGAGCUACUACGGCCACUCAGAGAUAUCGCGUUGUCGCUUCUUCUGCACUUGUCUCAGCGGUACUGCUCUUGAAUGGUUCGAAAACCUGCCCCCACGGUCUAUUGACUCGUGGAGCACCUUGAAAAACAAAUUUCGAACCAGAUUCUCGAGCAACAAGAGAGGGGGAAAAAUCACAGCAUCCCUAAUGACUGUGCGCCAAAGGUCUUCGGAGUCUCUCAGAGACUUCCUAGCCAGGUUCAGGGACGAGGUCGCCGUAAUUCCUAACCUAAUCGACGAGCUAGCAAUUAACUACCUGGCAGCAGGGGUGGACAAGAACCGCCAUGGCAGAAUUUUAGAAGAAUUCUUCGAGAAAAACCCUAGAACACUCCAGGCUGCCAUGGAAAUUUUCGAACACAGACUCACCAUCCAAGAGGCUGUAGGCAGUAUUCAAAUGGCUUCGCCUCCAACAAAAAAGUGGGAUAAAGGUUCAGGUUCAAACAGCAAGUGGGAGCCAAGGAGGCUAGAAGGCCGCCUUUCUCAAGGGGCCGAAAAGCCAGGCCUCGGACAAAACGCCCCCACGCCUCCACAGCUCCUUGAUGCCCCGCCACCUCAUCGGCCCCGGGGCUCGUGGCCUCCACGCCCCCCUAGGGAAGAAAAGGACUUCACUAAAUUAAACACCGAAAUAACAUCUAUCCUGGCGAUAAUGAAGACAGAUCCAAACUACCGCCCUCCAAGGCCGAUGAACCCUAACAGGCCCCCAAGCUCAAAAUACUGUGAUUACCACGAGGAUACAGGCCACACAACGGAAAGGUGUUACCAGCUCCGCAAUCUAGUCGAAAACAAAAUCCAGAGUGGAGAACUAGCACACUUUGCAUUACGAGAAGAACUCGCUCAGCCAAAUUCAGGGGGCACAGACAGGAUCAUUGACGUCAUAUCAGGGGGUUUCGCCGCCGGCGGAACAUCAAACAAUGCAAAGAAGCUAUACGCCAGAGAAGUAUACAGGGUUGACUCUAAGCGCCCUAAACAAAAUCCUUCGCCAGUAAUUUCAUUCUCCGACGCGGACUAUCCAGAGGGAAUAAUAAGGACGCAUCAAGACGCAAUGGUCAUAACAACAAAAAUCGGCACAAACACAGUCAAGAAAAUACUGAUAGACGACGGCAGUUCAGUGGACAUUCUCUAUCAUGGAGCAUUUUCUAGAAUGGACCUCGGGGACAGAAAACUCGAUGACGCCAGAAAUGCACCAUUGUACGGUUUUACGGGCAACGAGGUCCGGGUCCUGGGAACGAUUGAUCUUCCAGUACUGUUCGGCUCGCCCCCCGCCCAGCUAUGGCACGUGGUCAAGUUCCACGUAAUAAACGCCACCAAUACUUACAAUGCAAUAUUGGGGAGGACGACGACAACAGCACUCAGGGCAAUAACAUCAAUCCCACAUCUGAAAAUGAAAUUCCCCACGGAGUUUGGAGUGGGGGAAGUUCGAGGCGAUCAGCAAAUGUCAAGGCAGUGCUACAUCGGCAAUGUCAUUCCUAAAAGAAAGCCUCCACGCUCCAUCACAUCCACGAUCAAUCAAGUGGGUGACACACCUCGGAAGCUCGAGGCCUAUGAGGCCGAGGACCCCGAACCUAGUUAUCAACCCGUGGAGGACAAACCCCCCAAUUGUCAACCCGUGGAGGCCCUGGAACAAAUCGCCCUGGACCCCACAAAUCCAGAGAAAACCGUGGGAAUUGGUGCCAACCUACCUUCCCAAAUACGGGACCCUUUAACCUCACUACUCCAAGAGUUCGCGGAUAUAUUCGCCUGGACCCCGAGCGAAAUGCCAGGGAUCCCUGAAACAAUCGCACUUCACAGGUUGAACAUCAAGCCUGGUUCUAAAUGCGUUAAACAGAAGAUCAGGACCUUCUCACAGGAGAAGAGAGAGGCCAUUGAGGCUGAGGUAGACCGCCUCCUGGCCGCAGGCUUUAUCAAAGAGGUCCAGUUCCCAAAAUGGAUAGCAAAUACAGUCUUGGUCAAAAAGAGCAACGGCAAGUGGAGAAUGUGCAUCGACUAUUCCGACCUCAACAAGGCUUGCCCCAAGGACUUCUACCCGCUACCAAACAUAGACCAGUUAAUUGACGCAACAGCAGGUCAUGAACUAAUCUCUUUCAUGGACGCCUUUUCGGGCUAUAACCAAAUCAAGAUGGCUAAGGAAGAUCAGGAGGACACGGCAUUCAUCACCCACAAAGGGGUAUUUGCCUACACAGUAGUGCCUUUCGGCCUCUUAAACGCGGGAGCCACAUUCCAAAGAACCAUGGACACCAUAUUCGCCCCGCAAAUAGGAAGGAACAUGGAAAUCUAUGUAGACGACAUGAUCGUCAAGUCAACAAAAUCAAGUCAACAUGUCGCCGAUCUGCGCGAGACAUUCUCCCGAAUCAGGGAUCAUCAGGUGCGCCUCAACCCGGCGAAAUGUUCAUUUGGUUUAACCGGGGGUAAGUUUCUAGGCCACCUACUCACCCAGCGGGGCAUUGAGGCCGACCCAUCCCAAAUCAAGGCCAUUACGGAGAUGGAGCCCCCAAAGUCUCUAAAGGACCUACAAAUACUCACAGGGUGCAUAGCGGCUUUAAGACGCUUCAUCCCUCAGUCAUCAAAGAGAAGCCUCCCUCUCUACGAGGCCAUCAAAGGUGCUGCCAAGGCCCACAAAUUUGAGUGGACAAAAGAGUGUGACCGAAGCUUCGCAGAGAUAAAGGAGUUCUUGUCCAACCCGCCAGUAUUGGCAAAGGCAAUGCCCGGGGAACCGUUAAAGCUCUACCUCUCGGCAUCAGACUCCACCACGGCAGCAGUAUUGGUUAAAGAGGUGAAAGGCUCACAGGCACCCGUUUACUAUGCGAGCCACUUGCUAAAAGACACUGAAACACGAUAUAGCAAGAUUGAGAAGUUAAUCCUAGCUCUGGUAAUGGCCAGCAGAAAAUUAAGGCACUACUUCCAAGGGAGGGAGAUCACAAUAUUGACAAACCAGCCCCUGCGCCGGGUCUUACAUCGCCCCGACAUAUCAGGAAGGCUAGCUGCUUGGACUAUAGAGCUAAGUCAGUUCGGCUUGGAAUUCCUACCCCGAGCAGCCGUUAAGUCUCAAGUACUCUCAGACUUCAUCGCCGAAUGUAACUUCUCGGAGUCACCUACCACCAAAGGGCAGUCCUUCUCAGACAAGGCGUGGACAUUGUUUACAGAUGGCUCCUCCACCGAAGAGGCUGGGGGGGCAGGGAUACUCUUGGUCAGUCCCGAAGGUUUCAAGGUACAACAAGCAGUCCGCUUCAAAUUCUCAGCCACGAACAACGAGGCAGAGUACGAGGCAUUAGUCGCUGGCCUAAACCUAGCAAAACACCUCGAAGUCAAGAACAUUGACAUAUUUUGCGACUCGCAACUCGUGGUAAAGCAAAUCUCAGGUGACUUCAAAACCUCGAAUGAAAGAAUGGCCUCAUACAGAAAGGUGGUUUUGAACCUUCUACAGGCCCUGACAUCUUGGUCCAUUAAAAACAUAGCUCGAUCGGCCAACCACUGGGCCGACGCGCUCUCUCGGCUGGCUACCUCAUCAGCUGCACAGUCCCAAGAGCCAAUCUACGUCAAAGAGCUCGUCCAGCCAUCAAUCACCAGAGACGAGGUCAAUUGUGUAACCAUCGUAUCAGACUGGAGGACUCCUAUCAUCGACUUCAUCAACGGAACUUUGGACACUGCAGACAGAAAUGAAAGGCGUAAAAUCGAAUUCAAGGCUCGCAAUUUUUGCAUGAUAAACGGCAAGCUCUACAGAAGGGCCCUAACUGAACCCUUACUCAAAUGCAUCGGACCAGAAGAGACUCAAAUCGCCAUGACAGAAAUACAUUCCGGCAUUUGUGGAGAGCACGCCUCAGCAAAGAGCAUGGCAACCAAGAUGCUUAAGCAUGGGGUAUUCUGGCCAACCCUUCGCGCAGAUUGCGAAAACUUCACUAAAAAAUGUAAACCAUGCCAACUGUAUGGGGCAAUGAACCACAGACCUGCAACUAGCUUCUCCGCCUCACAGCCUCCAUGCCCUUUCUUCAUGUGGGGCAUGGACCUGGUUGGCCCACUACCCAAAUGUUCAGGACAGAAACAAUUCUUGAUCGUAGCAAUUGAUUACUUCACCAAAUGGGUCGAGGCCAAGCCCCUAGCCAGAAUCAGGGAGACAGAAGUUGUUCAUUUCUUCAUGGAAUACAUAGUAUUCCGCUUUGGAGUUCCACGUAUCAUAGUAACAGACAACGGCUCCCAAUUCACAGGCAGGGACUUCGAAGAAGCCCUAAACCAACUAAAAAUCAGCCACAUCAAAUCCUCAGUCGCAUAUCCACAGGCCAACGGCCAAGUAGAAAUCACAAACAAAGCAAUAUUGCAAGGAAUCAAGAAAAGGCUCCAGGAGGCAAUAUCCAAUUGGGUGGACGAGCUCCCCAAUGUAUUAUGGGGCCAUCGAACAACACCAAGGUCAACCACAGGCUUCUCCCCUUUCAGAAUGGCAUAUGGAACCGAAGCUGUGUUACCAGUGGAAAUCAGCAUGGGAUCCCCUAGGGUGGAGGACUUCUCCCCUGAAAAAUCUGAGGAAGGGUUAAAACUCCACAACGACCUCAUCGAGGAAUCCAGAGGCGACGCCCAGCUCAGGGUAGCCCAAUACCAAAAGAGGGUGGCCCAGUAUUACAACUCGAAAAUCAAGAUAAGAAGCUUUGAGGAAGGAGACUUGGUUCUCCGAGAAGCUGCAGCCUCCAUGCCCUCCAAGCAAAACAAGCUAUCAGCCCCUUGGGAAGGUCCAUACAUAGUGGCAAAGAUAAUCAGGCCAGGGACGUAUAGGCUCGCCAACCUCAACGGUUCUCCACUCCCCAACACCUGGAACGCAAUCCAUCUAAAAAAGUUCUAUCAGUAAAGUAAAAAGCCCCUUCCACAAAUCAAGGCCUAUACGCCAUCCAUCGAAUCAAGGCUCGAACGCCAUUUAUCAAGGCUCAAACGCCAUCUAUCUAGGACUAGCAAAUUAAAGUCCCUUUUGGGCCAAGAACACCGUACGAUAAUGUAUUUUCCAUCAUUAGCAUAUAUUCCUGAGUUCUAAAUUCUGGUUAACGGAUUAUGUUAUGAAUAUCUUUUUGAAGUUAGUAAAAUUGCGCUCCUUAAAGAAAAUUCUCGCCUUAAAACGUUACAGUUUUACUUUUACACUCUAACAUUAUUUCCCAUGAUUAUUCCCCUCUGUCAUAAAUUACUCAAAUGCAGGAAACCUCUCCCAACAACAGAUAGGCGGUCACAUACGGCAACAGCGAAGGGAAAAGAAGGAAGCGAACAAAGCAAAAACAAAUCAAAUACAAGAACAAAGUAAAGCAUUAAGCAGACGCAAAAAGAACAAAUUCAGAUAAAGUUCAAACGCAGAAAAAGCAAGUUAGGAGUUACAUCACCAAUCUGGGGCAUCCCCCAGCCAACAAAAGGUUUGUCCAAAAGCAACACAAGCGUAGCAGAUAAAAGAUGUCUUAAUACAUAUUUCCUCUGGGGCAUUCCCCAGCAAAUCGUAAGAGUAAUAAGAAACAAAUCAAGUCGCAGACCCUGCGCGGCCAGCCGAGUCACCACCAUCGUCACAGUUACGAGCCUCUUCCUCACAAUGAAGCCCGAAGGUAUGCGCUUCCAUGUUAUAUCCAGCCUUCACGGCACGGUUCCAGCACAGGUUAUAGCCAGCCUCCAGAGCCCCAAACGCCUCCUCAUGGCUCUUAGACAAGGCCUGGCGAGCCUCCACCAGCUCUUUCUCCAAAAGGAUCUUGUUCCUCCCAAACUCAGCUAUCACAGAACAAUACUCAGCAGCCAUCCGCCUUUUGUCAGCAGCAAACUCAACCUCAAUAUUUUGAUAAGAUGCCACAAGGGCAUUCAAAGCUUCCUUGUCAGAACCCAAGGCCUCCACACGCUUCUCCAAAUCAGCUACGGUCCCCAAAGCCUCACGGUUCUUUCGUCCAAGUAAGGCGAUACGCUUCUCCGCGUCCACUUUAUGACGUUGAGCAUCCACCAAGUCAGCACGGAGACGCUUCAACUCAGUCUCCAAAUUUCCACGAACCCCCAAGGCCACCAGCCGAUCGAACUCGACAGUAAACUGGGAUAUGGACAAAAAACAAAAACAGCGGUUCACUAACACAGCGACAAAAGCACAAAGUAAAACUGGAAAAGCAAAGUAAGGAAGGUGCCAAACCUGAUCCAACAAUUCCUUGGCAGAAACAGCAGCCUUUGCGGCAGAAAAGGUCUCGUCAGCCAAAGGCCCCUCAGGCUCCUUGCUCGAAGAUCCAGGCCUCCCAGCCUCAUUAGCUCGAAGCUUUAUUAGCCCACGGCCUUUCUUCUCCAAAGGCGGCCCCGCCUCCUCCUCUACACGACGAGCUCUCUUCCUGCUAGACGUCCGGGCAGCAACAGACUCCACGAGAGUCCCACUAACCUCCCCCAACAGCUCCAAAGAACCACUAGCCUCCACAUCCACAACCCGCGGCUUAGAGGACUCCUCAAAAUCCUUGUCACCAGAAAACUCAAUCCCUUUUUCAGCCAAAGAAGAAACACCCCUUUUCGCCAUCAUGGACUUCAGAGCCGAACUCAGCAUCUUGCGAGGGGAUCUUAGCAGCGCCCGCAAAGGCUCUCCAGCCACUGUCAAAAUACCAACAACAAAGUUCAAGAGCAAAGAAAAAGAGUCACAAAGGAAAGCAACACAAAAGCAAUAUCUUACAACAAUGAGAAACUAAAAAUUCAUUUUUUGUGAAAUCCUCGGUAGAGAAUGUCACAUCCUCCCCAGAAAACAAAGCCAAAACACUUUCAGGCAAACCAGGCAUGUGGUUUAAUUCAUAAAGCCAGUCCUUGGAUACACCAUUCCAUGGACUCACAGAGCCCAACUCUCCACCAGAAAAAUAGGCCCAUUUACCAUGCCAACCGUUAUUCGACGUCUUGACAUUAACCAGGCGAGUGCGCCCGGAUUUCUUAUCCAAAUACAACUGACCGCCCCCAUACUUAACCCGAUAAAUGGAUAAUAACAAGUCAACAGUAGGGAUCUUCUUCUUAUCAUGACUCCGGGCGAUUACGCCACAGAUCUGCACAACAGCAUUAGGGGACAACUGCGCAAUACCACAACCCAACAAUUUAAGAAGAGCCACAAACAACGGAUGCAUGGGGAGGCGGAAGCCCAACUCAAAAAACAAGAAGGGGAUGGCCUGCCAACCCUCCUGAGGCAUGUGCCACAAACAAUCACCUUCCUCAGGAAGAUGAACAGAAUAAACCCCAUCGGUGCCGCAAUACUCACCAAGUUUCGCCAUCUCGGGAGAAUCAGGACCAAUAACACUCGGCCGGUUAAAAGCAGGGUUCGACCGGAACACCCUCCUCAGUUCUUCCGGCAUAGAGGACACCGGAGCCGAAGGCUUCUCUUUCGCCGGGGUGUUUUUCGUCAAAUCUAGGAUGAAAGGAUCAACUGACUCCAAGUCUUGCAACCCAUCGUCUAGAGAUUCCAAAUCAUGGGAAGACGAGUGUGGAACAAGAGGAGACGGCAAGGGACCAAGAUCAUCAAACAGAGUUUCCCCAGCAGCCUCAGGCCCAACACGAGCAGAAAGGGAAUGGCGUUUUCUCGAUGAAGACAUGAGCAAGCAGUAAAAGAAAACAAAAAGAAAAGAGGGAAAAAAUACCUAGAAAAGAUCGCAACUGGAGAAAGGAAGAGUUUUUUUCCGAAAAAACAAGACAACUAUGGCAGGUUGAAAGCCACAAGUAAGCCAGUUCAAGACUCCGAGUCCCGAGGAACCCCAACAGCCAAUCGCCACUUCAAAAACUGCGGGAAAGAAAAAACAAUUGAAAUAAAAAUACGGACAAAAACCCAGCCCAUCUAAAGAAAGGCUCCAGCUAGGGGGGAGACUAAAUGUUGGGCCUUAGCCCAGAUAGCCUCAGCCCAGAUACGAAGAGCCCACCUAAAAGCCCACUUAGAGGCCCAGAACCAAGAGGUCUAUAAAUAGUGAAAGAAAACACUGUAAUAGAGAGGGGAAAAUAGAAGAGUGAAAGAAUAUAUGUAUAAAAGGUUGUAAGUAUCAACAACUAAUAAAUAGGCAAUCUUAUUAAUCUUAUUGGUUUUAUCCAUAUGAAUACAGGAGGAGUUUGUUCCGAUCAAAAUUUAACACAUAUCAAAAAAAAUUUAUAUCCAAUUUUGUACACGAGCCGUUUUCCAUUUUUGAGUGAAAGAAACAGAUAUAUCUGGACGAGAACAUAGCAGUAAACGGCAAUCUUGCAACACAACUCCCACCUCCAAGUAGUACUCUAUGCCCUUUGUCAAUGCAUUAGCAGUAAGCAGAGAGUCACUUUGGAGAUCUACACUGGCUCCUUGUAUUGACUGAGGCCAGCCAAGUGCUUGGAGUACUCCUCGAGUUUGAGCUUCGAACACCAUAAUCUCACCUGCACAUCUUAAAUUCUUUGCUUGUAUGAAACUGCCUUCAUGAUCCCGAAGAAUGAUGCAUUAUAUUUAGCUUAAAUCUUCCUUGAGCAGGAGCUUUCCAUUUAGACCCUCCCAUCAACUGCGUGUCCAAGCCACAUGAUCACAAACUUGACCUCUGGAAAUUGUUUGUACCCAGAUUUUACAAGCGUCAGGACAUGACGGGAAGCUGAGCUGACACGACGAGAAGAGCUGACGGGAUAAGGAUAAUUGUAGAUAAAAUUAGUGGAUAAGCUUUAGACUAAGUCUCAACAAAACUCCACCUUUUUAGGAGCAUCAUUCAAGAAUAAAGCAACGGGUAUUAGCACAAAAGAAGGGAUGUUACAUGCACGUACAGGGAAGUGGAGUGAAAAUAGGAGUUGGUGGCCAUACAUGACUCUAGCCAAAUGUAUUAUAAAAGGAGGCAAGUACUCGCAGGAAAAAAGAAGAACAACCCACCUACUGGAGUUACCUAUACACACCCAUCUACACACUAGCCUAUAAACACUAGUUGAGAAAAUAAGUAACGUAGCUUAUACUUUGUUUCAUUCAUUUGCAACUUGUAUUUAAGCUCACACGUACUACAAAAUUCUAGUGAAUUCUUUUAUUGGCUGGGUAACCAUUCCCACCCGCGGUUUUUACCUUUUUACGGGGUUUUCCGCGUCACCAAAAUUGCUUGUGUUCUCGUCUCUUAUUUUCUUUUCGAUAUUUUUCAUUCGAUCUUUUAAGUAUUCAUACAUAAAAACACAUACUCCAUUGUUAUAGAAAUUAAAUAGGCUUGGCUUUUAACCCCGCAAAUUUUGGUAAAAACAAUUGGCGCCGUCUGUGGGAAACUAGCGAAGCACUUACAUGAUUUCUAUGGCAAUGGAGUUCACGUCGACGCACAUAUUAAUCGGUUCAAAAGGGGCUACAAGAGAUAGGCGUCAUUGAUACACUGAUUUUUUAUAUCACAUCACUUUGGUUGACAUGGCGAGAAGAUUUCUGAUUACAAACAUGGGGUUGUCCGACGGGUUGGCUGAAUUAAAGAACACGUCACUCAACACACAUAAUGGAAGUUACAAUACGGAUCUUAAAUGCAUUAUGACAGCUCUUCAUAAGUAAGGAUCUCGUAAUUACACAAACAAGGGGCUGAUCCAACGAACACGUCUCUCAACAAAAACAAUGGGACUGCCCGACGAGUUGAUCAACAUGUCCAUAUAUCGCCGACGCCUUCAGCCUACAACACGUGAUAGUUUGAGAAGACGACGGCAUACAUGUGUCACAUCUGUCAAGAGGUACACAAAGACUCCGAGAGGGUACUAGUCAAGGUUAAACAUACCUGGAGUAAUCACAAAUGACCAUGACAUGUACGACGGGAACAAUUCAUAUUCGUCUGAUCACGUCUAACGGGAACCAGUAAAUCACAUGUGACGCAACACGACUAACAAGACAUGGGUGACAUCUACACGACAAAAAACAACACCACAGAGGACAUGACGUGACACCAAAGAGAGAGACCGACAUAAUUGAUUUUUUGACAGAAAGAAUGGACAGCUUCGCUUGGGAACACGACGACACGAUGGGUAGCAGCCUCGACUUGAACAUACACAAGUUAAAUGAUGACAAGUCAAGCCACAUACAUGUCAAAUGCAAACCAAACAGAAUUAAGAUAAUCAAUCGCAAAGGAGACAACUAAUUCAAAAAAGGACAUGAUACAUGAAAUCGAGUAUCAGGAAUGACUAGCAAACAUGGUGACAGUAUAAAAAUAAAACCAUGACAAUUGGACAUAAAGUCUUGACAUGAUGAUCGACGUGACAGCUAGACAUGAACUCUAGUAACAUAACAGAUCAUGUCAAAUACAUUAUCACCUAUGAGCCACAAACAACGAUUGACUCACAAAUUUUGUUAAUUUUGUGGCUAAUUUCAAUCCAAGUCUUCUAUCUCAACAGGACAUGACGACUUAUCCUAAAAUCGUCACAAGGGGACAAUAUAGCAUACCCAAAACACGAUCGACAUCACUGGUUCAACAUGAUGUGAAGUAAAAAGACAUGACAUGACCACGAAGGAUAAACAUAGACGAAAGAGUCAAAAAUGGACUAGUUGUUGCGACAAGUCCAAGAAACUUGAUUAAUGUCAACUCGACGACAUGGGACACAAAGGUCAACACUAUGACAGAAUAUGAAUCAUUGACGCCUCUAGAGGUGUCCGACGUCUCCCAUCUGAUUUAACAAUACAUUACAAAUUACAAGUCCUCAGGGGCUCGAACAUGCUACUUUUGAAACUUUAUCACAUGUAAGUGAACUCAUCCUCUUUAUUCUCUUAGUCUUUAGCAAUAUGAUAAUAAGUUGAUUACGAUCUUUACUUGGUCUUAUGCCAUUUAGAUGAUAUUUCAUGCUUCGAGUAAAUGUUUGCUUGAAUGAUUCGUGAUCUAAGCAUGAUGAUACAUGUGCUUGUUUCUUACAUGACUUGUUACUCUACUUGAUAGAUAUGUGUGUUGAAAUAUGUUAUGCAAGUUGUUCCAAAUUGUCUUCAUGUUUAACUGCUUAAAAUUGACGUCUUCAUCAUGAUAUUUAUUGUGGCAUGAUACUGCAUGAGUAUAUUUUAGAUACAUAUUUAAUAGACAAGGAGGGCUGAUCACCCAUCCUACUACAGUUAAUCAUUAUCGAAUGAUGAUGACGACAAUACUACACGUUACACAAACAACUAACGACGCCACGAAUAAUGAUGCAUUUCAACAUUAUGUAUUUAAACAUUACAUAAUCACAAUUACAAUUACGAGCUAAGUUUCAAGAGGGAAAGGCCUUUUAACUAGCCUACGAAUGCAUGCAUCGACGUUUGAAAAUAAACAAAUUUGUCAAAUACAACAACGUUUGAAAAUUAUAUAUAUUUAUCGAAUACAUAUACUACAUGCAUCAAUGUCUGAAAAUUAUAUAUUCAUCGAAUAUAUAUAUUUGUCGAAUACAUAAAUUACGUGUAUCAACACUUGAAAAAUAUAUUUGUCAACUACAAUUACGCAUAUUACAAGUUUAAAUACAUCGACGUAUUUAACAGACAUGUCGACGAAAACUCCACAAAAUCACGCAAGUCACAGCCCUUGGUCGGACACAUGAAUUACAAUGUACAUUUCUACAUGUCAUCACUUACACGAGUCAUGACAGAUUGCAUUGACUACAUGUCACACAUACUACAAGUGACAUAUAAGGUUGCAAACAACAUAUCACGUUAUAGCUAUGAUGACGAGCUGCACAUCAUGUCUACAAAUUACAUAUUACGAACGGAAGACAUGGUACAAAACACUUUACAUGUUGGUACUCCUAUUCAUUACGUCACGGUCACUCCAAAUUUAGGGGUCACAUGAAACGCAACCGACAAUCACAAGAUUAUAUACGACAUCUUGCACAUGUCGGAAGACAUCUAAAAAGGGCUUUACAAAUAUAAUGCAAAGGAACGUCACAACUUGACAUGUUAAUACUACGGGGCUGAUUGUAAUUAUGUCCAAGCCUACAGGUAACUACGAUAGAGCAAAUACAAAGCGUUCUCAUCUUAGAACGAAAAACUAACGACAACGAAACAGCUACUCAUCGAUGUUUUUAUCAUUGGAAGAUUUAGACAACAAUGACAACAUUACAAUGACACAAUGAGAUUGAGACUCGAUACAAGACAAUAACGAACAAGACAAAUCGACAUGACAUGAUCACAUGUUGCAAGCGUCAGUAUUUUAACAUAGCAUAGGUGUUCCUAUUAGCCAUGAUCUAAAGAAAACGGAGGGUUAAAGAAGUAAUUUCAUUGGUUGCAUGCCUCCACCCAAUAAAAUUAGGGGCUAUUGUUUGUACCCAGAUUUUACAAGCGUCAGGACAUGACGGGAAGCUGAGCUGACACGACGAGAAGAGCUGACGGGAUAAGGAUAAUUGUAGAUAAAAUUAGUGGAUAAGCUUUAGACUAAGUCUCAACAAAACUCCACCUUUUUAGGAGCAUCAUUCAAGAAUAAAGCAACGGGUAUUAGCACAAAAGAAGGGAUGUUACAUGCACGUACAGGGAAGUGGAGUGAAAAUAGGAGUUGGUGGCCAUACAUGACUCUAGCCAAAUGUAUUAUAAAAGGAGGCAAGUACUCGCAGGAAAAAAGAAGAACAACCCACCUACUGGAGUUACCUAUACACACCCAUCUACACACUAGCCUAUAAACACUAGUUGAGAAAAUAAGUAACGUAGCUUAUACUUUGUUUCAUUCAUUUGCAACUUGUAUUUAAGCUCACACGUACUACAAAAUUCUAGUGAAUUCUUUUAUUGGCUGGGUAACCAUUCCCACCCGCGGUUUUUACCUUUUUACGGGGUUUUCCGCGUCACCAAAAUUGCUUGUGUUCUCGUCUCUUAUUUUCUUUUCGAUAUUUUUCAUUCGAUCUUUUAAGUAUUCAUACAUAAAAACACAUACUCCAUUGUUAUAGAAAUUAAAUAGGCUUGGCUUUUAACCCUGCAAAUUUUGGUAAAAACAGAAAUCUGGAAAUAGGUGUUGCCACAAUUACUUUAGCAUCACCAUUGUGAAUAGAUUGUUCACCUCUUGAAUAUCCCAUUUCUUUUCACCAGGGGUGAAUAAAUCAAAUACUUUAACUACAGCUGAUCGGUUAGUAUUUGUACUAUCCACUUUAAAAUCAGCUUUCCCUCUUAGCCAUGCAUCCUCAAAAACUCUAAUUUCCUUCCCAUCCCCAAGAACUCAUCUAAGCCCCUGUUUCAAAACCUCAAUGGCUUGCCAUAAUCCAGACCAGAUAUGGCUCCCCACGCGUUGCUUCAGAAAGAGAACUGAUUUGGAAAAAAUCUGGCCUUAUAGAUACGUGCAACUUAUAAUUCUGUCGGAUUAAAAAAUAUCCAUUUUACCUUCUUCCAUAAAUACAGGUUUUAAAUAAUUUUGUGUUAGUGGCACCAAAUCCAGGGGCGGAUGCACAGUAGCUUGAGUGGGUGGACAGGACCCCACUCAGUUUGGACUUAACACCCUCAAAGAAAAUUAAAAACUCACAAUUCAUUGCAUUUUUAAAAACCAAACUCAAAACUAAUUGUUAACAUAGAAAUAAUUUAACAAACAAAAGAUGUUUUUUCCUAAUAGAAGAAACUCACCGUAAUUAAAGCUUUAAUGACAAUGUUCUAUGCCUGACCGGUGACUCACGGUUAUAUAUUUUGUUAAGUAUUAUCAUAUGCAUUUUAUAUAAGGAACCCACUGAAAUAUAUUCCUGGAUCCGCCACUGACCAAAUCUAUAUCUCCGGAUUUGAGCGAUUACAGUGCUGCUUUUCCCGCACUUCAUAAACACUUCACACUCCACCCCUGAAUUCUUUCCCAAAUUCGAUCUCCAAGAAAUUUAAAAAUCGAUUUCAAGCAAUGUAUACUCCUGAAACGAGAAAUCAGCUAAUAACUCGUUAUUCUGCUCAUCUGAGAGAAUACAGAGUCACCAGCUUCUACCUCCAUAUCUUUCUCCCUCACCCCCUCAUCAAAAAGCUUCAAAAAAUAAUCCUUUACUAUCUGACACAUCGAUCUCCUCAUGACCGUCACCAACUCCCCAUCGUUGUGUUUCAGCUUCAUAACGUGAUCUAAUUCCUUCAUUGUUGUUGCAUAAGCGUGAAAGUGUUAAUUUUACGGAUAAUUUCAGUUUUAGCUAUUUUUGUUUUUGUUCAUUGCUUACUGUCAACAUUGUAAAAGCAAUGGUGGAGGAAGCUUUUGAGAGAGAAAACUCAAACAUUGUAUAUACAGCUAAGAAUGUUUUGUUACAAGUUGUGUCAAUCUGUACAAGCAAAAGACAUUUUAUACUAGUCACUAGCUUCUAACUUUGGGCGGGAAAAGUUGUUACAUCCACCCACUACUAGUCUAACUAAUUAAUCAUUACUUAAUAACUUAAUUAUUCAAGUAAUAUUCCCUACCCCCCCCCCUCAAGUUAGAGGGUGAGGAACUCACACCUAACUUGCCAAGUAUAGCAUGAUGCUGUAGACCAGUGAGGGGUUUGGUAAAGACAUCUGCGAGCUGGAGCUUGGAAGGAACAUAGCUCAGAGAAAUUAAGCCAGAACUGAGCUUUUCCCGAACAAAAUGGCAGUCAAUGUCUAUAUGCUUCGUUCUCUCGUGAUAUACAGGAUUUUUAGCAAUAUAAAUUGCUACCUGAUCAUCACAUUUAACAGGUAUAGGAAGUAUGUCUGAAACAGUGAGUUCAGAUAACAAUCUGGAAAGCCAAGCUAAUUCUGCAGUGAUACGCCUGAGAGAUCUGUACUCAGCUUCAGCUGAGGACAAGGAAACUGUGUGCUUUCUUUGAUUUCCAGGAGACAAUACUGUUACCAACCAUGAUCACAAAGCCACUUACAGAUUUCCUGGUGUGGGAGCAAGCUGCCCAGUCAGCAUCACAAUAACCUUGAAUAGAGUAGGAAGGUGAAUUGCUAAAAAAUAAUCCUUGUGCAGGAUUGUUUUUAAGAUAUCUCAGAACAUGUAGAGCAGCAUUCCAGUGAGGUUCUCGUGGAUCACUCAUGAACUGACUAAGGUGCUGUACUGGAAAACUAAGAUCAAAUCUGGUAUUGGUGAGAAAAUUUAGUUUACCAACUAAUUUCCUGUAUUCACCAGGGUCAUCUAAAGGAACACCUUCCCCAUGAAGAAUCUUAGCAUUAAGGUCUAAUGGGGCUAUAACAGGUGUAGAAUCUGGAGUAUCAUAUUCAACUAGCAAUUCUUGAGUGAAUUUCUUCUGUGAUAGAAUAAUGCCAUCAGGUACUGAUGUGAAUUCAAUACCAAGAAAGUAAUGUAGAGAUCCCAGAUCUUUGAUUUUGAAGGUGGAAUCAAGAAACUGUUUGACAGUAGUAAUCUCAGACAUAUCAUUUCCAACCAACAAAAUAUCAUCAACAUAGACAGCCAGAAAGACCACAGAAGUACCAUUUUUCUUAUAGAACAGAGAGUAAUCAUUCUUGGAAGUGGCAUAACCUUUUGAAAGCAGUGUAGAAUGUAGUUUAGCAUGCCAUUCCCUAGAUGCUUGUCUCAAACCAUAGAGAGAUUUUAAGAGUUUGCAGACCAAAUUGGGAUGAGAAAGAUUAAGGCCAGGUGGUGGUUUCAUAUAGAUAUCUUCAUGUAAAUCACCAUGAAGGAAAGCGUUAUUCACAUCAAGCUGAGACAUAUGCCAGCCUUUUUUAACAGCCACAGCAACUAAUGUUCUGAUUGUAGUCAUUUUAACUACUGGAGAGAAUGUUUCAGUGAAAUCUAUGCCUUGCUUUUGAGUAAACCCUUUAACAACCAAUCGUGCUUUAUAUCUCUCAAUGGAGCCAUCAGCAUGUUGCUUGACUUUGAAAACCCAUCUACAAGAUAUAGCCUUUUUCUUAGGAGGGAGAGGUACCAAAUCCCAGGUUUUGUUAGCUUCUAAUGUUGAGAAUUCAGCAGCAAUAGCUUGUCUCCAUUCAGGAAACUGGAUUGCCUCUUCAUAAGAAAUUGGAUCAGAUGGAGGAAGUUUAAUAUCAGGUAUGACAGAACAGCAAGUAGAAUCUUCUGACUGAUGGAUAGAAGGUGUGCAGAGUGAAGUGAGAGUACAGGCACAAGUAAUAUUCCCACAUUGAGAUUCUGUAUAAGGAUGAACAUAGUCAUUAAGGUAAGAAGGGAGUUUGGUAUGUCUCUCAGAUUUUCUGAGAACAGGUUCAAGAUGAGGAGAUGGUGUUUCAGCAGUGGUGGAAUCAUGUGGAUUCUAGGAAGAAUCCUGAGAAUUCUGUGAAGAAGCCUGUGGAGAAUGCAAUGAAUUUUGUGGAGAAUUCAUUGAAUUCUGGGGAGAAGGAGAAUUUUGUGUAGAAAUGGGCUGUGAUGAUGCUGAUUCAGGAACAGAUGUAGGAAUACAAUGAGGUGAAGGAAUGGACACAAGUGGAAAGAUAUUCUCAUGAAAAGAGGCAUCUCUUGAAAUUAUAAUGGCAUUUGUUUCUAAAUUGAGAAAUUUGUAGGCCUUUUUCCCAUAUGGAUAUCCCAGAAAUAUACAAGGAGAAGCCCUUGGUGAAAACUUGUUUCUGUGUACAGCUAAUGUAGAUACAAAACUUAGACAACCAAAAGGUCUAAGAUGAAGAUAAGAUGGUUUCUUAUCAAACAAAACUUCAUAAGGAGAACAACCAUGAAGAACUGUAGAGGGAAAUCUAUUAAUCAAAUAAGUUGCUGUCAAGACACAAUCACCCCAGAAUUGAAUGGGGAGAUUGGACUGAAAUAGAAGAGCCCUGGAAGUCUCUAACAAGUGUUUGUGUUUACGUUCCACAACUCCAUUUUGUUGUGGAGUGUAGACACAAGAAGUUUGGUGUAUAAAGCCUUUUUCCAGAAAAUAAGCAGAAGAAGUAGGUGAAGAACCUAAUUCUAAGGCAUUGUCACUUCUAACUGUUUGAACUACAGUAGAGAACUGAGUCUCAACCAUUGCAAUGAAGUAUUUGAGAAAGGUGAAGGCAUUACUUUUACUGCUUAAUAAGUAAGUCCAAGUUACUCUAGAAAAAUCAUCUACAAUGGUGAGAAAGUAUUUAUACUUGUUGUAUGUAGCAACAAAAUAGGGUCCCCAUAUAUCAAUGUGUAUAAGCUCAAAGCAUUUAGUAGAAUGAAUUGAACUAUGAGGAAAUGGAAGUCUGUGCUUUCUAGCUUUAGCACAAAUAGUACAGGAUUCAAGAGAUUGUUUAUCAAGAUUAUUACACAAGGAAAGUGUCUUCAAUUUAUACAAAGGCAAGUGUCCUAACCUUGAAUGCCAAACUGAAACAGAAACACUAUUACAAGCAAUAGAAGAAUUAUUAACACUGGGAAGAGAUGAUGUCUCCAAGGAAGAAGGAGCAUCAUGAUGGAAAAGGUAUAAGCCCUUCUGAAGAUUACCAAGUACCAGAGGCAUCUUCAGAGAAGAGCCCUGCAAGAAACAAUUAGAAUGAGAAAAGCUAAUUGUGCAUUGCAGUUGUGCAGCCAAUCUUGGUACAGAUAGAAGAUUAAGUUUGAAAUCAGGCACAUAAAGAACAUUGUGCAAGAUGAUGUCAUGUGUGAUAGGAACAGAACCAACAUGAGUGAUAAAGAUGUUAUGACCAGUAGGUAGUGAAACAUUAAUGGAUUUAGGCAGAAGAGUGAGAUUAGAAAAUAAAGACUUAUGAGCACACAUAUGAUCACUAGCUCCACUGUCAAUUAUCCAAGUAAUGUAAUUAGUAGUAGUGAAGCAGGCAGUAUGAAUGGAGUUACCAGCAAAGUUUGCAGCAGAAGGAGGUUGUUCUGAAGUCUGAGCAGUGUUGAGCAAAUUCAUUAGUUGAGAGUAAACUUCAGGUGACAGAGUGCCAGAUGUGCCAACAGAUCCUGAAUUGCUAUUAGUGCUGAGAGAUGAAUGUGAAGCAACAGAAGAUGGAGAAGGACUCCUGUCAGAAACUUCUGCCUGAGCUGCAAACCUUUUGCCUUUGGUGAACUUAAAAUCAGCUGAAAAACCAUGUAGUUUGUAACAUUUGUCAAUGAGAUGUCCUGGUUUCUUGCAAUAGUUGCACUGAAGAUUAGACUUCCUGGAGUCAGCACCAGGCCUUUUAGCAGAAGAAGGAUAAGAGCCUGAAGUGCCAGAGUGAACAGCCAGAGAAGCAGCUUCUGUCAUGAAAUUAGAUCCAGAAUGAAUCUCUCUCUGAGCUUCUUCUUGAAGCAAGAUGUUAUAUGUCUGACUCAGGUUAGGAAGAGGAGAUUUCAUCAAGAUUGAGCUUCUCAUAAUGGUGUAAGUGUCAUUCAAUCCCAUUAGGAACUGAAUGACUUUCUGAUCAUGAUGAUGCUUAGAGAUAUGGCUAGCUGCACCACAAGAACAAACAGGUGCCAAUCGGAGAGAUUCCAGAUCAUCCCAAAGCACCUUGAGUUUGGUAAAGUAAUCUGCAAUAGUGUCAUUGCCUUGAGAGAGUUCAUUGAUUGACUUGUGUAGACCAAACAACUGAGCACCAUUACCAACAGCAUAACGUUCCUCUAAUUCAGCCCACAUCUGAUGUGCAGUGGUGCAAUAGAUGACACUACGACCAAUAGAUUUGGAAAGAGCACCAAGAAUCCAAGAAAUAACCAUGUCAUUACACCUAGACCAGCUAGUAAAAGAAGGAGAUGAAGGAUCUGGUCGAGGUAGGGUUCCAGUGACAAAACCUAACUUAUUUCUUGCAGAUAGAGCAAUUGUCAUGGACCGUUUCCAAUUACUGUAACCAGUUCCAUCAAAGACAUCACUAACAAGCUUCAUACCAGGACUAUCAGAAUUUUGCAAGAACAGAGGAUUAUCAUGUUGAGAGUUUGUGAGAGGUUCGUAUUGGAACGAAUCGUGAAUAGUGUGUGAAUCGGAACCACUAGCCAUUGGAGAAUCAGUAGAUUCUAACGAAUAAGCAACUAAUAAGCAGAGAAAUGUAAAUGUUGGAGCAGAGAUUGCAAUUAGGGUUUACAAUCAGAGAUGUGAAAUACCGAACGAUGGAGAGAUGGAUUGAGCGAGAGAGAGAUUACCAGAAGAGAUAAUCGAAGAGAGAUUACCGUCAGAGUGACGGAGAGAAGCGGAGGAGAUGACGGAGAUCACGUUUCCAUGCUCUGAUACCAUGUCAACAUUGUAAAAGCAAUGGAGGAGGAAGCUUUUGAGAGAGAAAACUCAAACAUUGUAUAUACAGCUAAGAAUGUUUUGUUACAAGUUGUGUCAAUCUGUACAAGCAAAAGACAUUUUAUACUAGUCACUAGCUUCUAACUUUGGGCGGGAAAAGUUGUUACAUCCACCCACUACUAGUCUAACUAAUUAAUCAUUACUUAAUAACUUAAUUAUUCAAGUAAUAUUCCCUACACUUACAUUUGCUGAAUAAUGAGUAUAGAAAGAAAUUGAUAUUAUUUAAAUGCGAUGUUGGGUGUUGCAUCAAAUGAUGUAUAAAUAUUUUUGGUUCAAAGCGUAGAUCAACAUAUAUUUUACCUGCAUGAAAAUUAUUAACAAAUAAAUUUAAGUCGGGAAAAUUGUUCAAAAUUCAUUAAAAUCCGAUGAUAUUUAAAUGCUAUGGAAUUUUUUGGACUUCAUAAAAUGAUUGAGUUUGUUAGAUUGUUCAAUGUAUUUUAAGAUUUUUGAAUCCCACCGAAAUCAAUGAGAUUUUUAAGCAUUGUGUAUAUAUCCUAAAAACUCUCAUCAACUCUACAACAUUUUAUCUAUAAUCCGCAUAAAACCAAAAUUAGAUAAAAUCCAGUAAAGUCCAUAAAAUCUCAGCCGAAUACAUCCUCUUAGAGCAUCUCUAAUAAGAUUUGAUUAUAAUCGUCGGCUAAAUUGGACAGUAAGUCAUUGUGUAAAAUAAACUGAACUCGUAAGACAUUGUGCUUUUGGCUAUAUUGGUCAGUUAUAAUUUAAAAAUAGUAUAUUACUCAUAUUUUAGAUUGUUAUAAUUAGAAUAUAUCGGUCCAAUAUAAUAAUAAAUGAUGUAUAAUUUUUAUACAAAUUUUCUAGAGACUUGCAGAGGUUCGACAAAUAUAAUCAUACAUACGAGGUUGACUAAAACUAUAGAUAAGAGGUGAGAAUAGUUGGUGUGUGAUAUUUUAAAGACAGUAACUAUAUUUUUUCACAUUAGUAUAACAAUUCACUAUUUUAGUUAAAAUUUUAUAAUGAUUGGAGUUGCUAUUAGAUAAGUUUGUUAAUUUUAGACGUGUA
RNAcentral lists this long non-coding RNA (22670 nucleotides) under Daucus carota (carrot). RNAcentral's name for it is "long non-coding RNA (DCAR_LNC005798)". Lineage: Eukaryota; Viridiplantae; Streptophyta; Magnoliopsida; Apiales; Apiaceae. The record is from RNAcentral.